AAGAGUAUAAUUUAAAAGGUAAAAUAUAAAGCUUCAAACUUUAGUUUUUCAGUUCAAAUCUGGAUGCUCUUG
This is a non-coding RNA of Aplosporella prunicola CBS 121167, 72 nucleotides long. NCBI's taxonomy places the organism in Eukaryota, Fungi, Ascomycota, Dothideomycetes, Botryosphaeriales, Aplosporellaceae. The record is from the annotation of a RefSeq genome assembly.